This 395-nucleotide ribosomal RNA is filed under the name uncultured bacterium. RNAcentral describes it as "bacterial SSU rRNA". It matches the Rfam family "Bacterial small subunit ribosomal RNA", at positions 30 to 419 of the family's 1533-position model. The record is from RNAcentral.
AUUGAACGCUGGCGGCAGGCCUAACACAUGCAAGUCGAACGGUAACAGGAAGAAGCUUGCUUCUUUGCUGACGAGUGGCGGACGGGUGAGUAAUGUCUGGGAAACUGCCUGAUGGAGGGGGAUAACUACUGGAAACGGUAGCUAAUACCGCAUAACGUCGCAAGACCAAAGAGGGGGACCUUCGGGCCUCUUGCCAUCGGAUGUGCCCAGAUGGGAUUAGCUAGUAGGUGGGGUAACGGCUCACCUAGGCGACGAUCCCUAGCUGGUCUGAGAGGAUGACCAGCCACACUGGAACUGAGACACGGUCCAGACUCCUACGGGAGGCAGCAGUGGGGAAUAUUGGGCAAUGGGCGCAAGCCUGACCCAGCAACGCCGCGUGAAGGAAGAAGACUUUC